UGGAAAUCAUUCAUAGAGUGUAAAGGCAUAAGGGAGCUUGACUGCGAGACCUACAAGUCGAGCAGGGUCGAAAGACGGACUUAGUGAUCCGGUGGUUCCGCAUGGAAGGGCCAUCGCCCAACGGAUAAAAGCUACCCCGGGGAUAACAGGCUUAUCUCCCCCAAGAGUUCACAUCGACGGGGAGGUUUGGCACCUCGAUGUCGGCUCAUCGCAU
RNAcentral lists this ribosomal RNA (214 nucleotides) under Staphylococcus aureus. Its description in RNAcentral is "partial 23S ribosomal RNA". It matches the Rfam family "Bacterial large subunit ribosomal RNA", at positions 2332 to 2545 of the family's 2925-position model. Lineage: Bacteria; Bacillati; Bacillota; Bacilli; Caryophanales; Staphylococcaceae. The record is from RNAcentral.